UAUCAUCUUCUUUCUUCUUUUUUGGUUUCACUACUCCCUUAUCUUUUGUUCUUCAAUCAGGUUAUAUUACCAAUCCCAGAUAUUUAGUGAUCGUCAUGGAUUCCUCAGAACUUCGACGCAUUUUUCAAAUGUUUGACCGCAAUGACGACGGACGGAUCACAAAGAAGGAGCUGAAAGACUUGUUAGAGAACUUGGGCAUCCAAAAGUUAUAUUACCAAUCCUGGAUAUUUAGUGAUCGUCAUGGAUCCCUCAGAACUUCGACGCAUUUUUCAAAUGUUUGACCGCAAUGGCGACGGACGGAUCACAAAGGAGCUGAAAGACUCGUUAGAGAACUCAGGCAUGCAAAAGUUAUAUUACCAAUCCCAGAUAUUUAGUGAUCGUCAUGGAUCCCUCAGAACUUCGACGUAUUUUUCAAAUGUUUGACCGCAAUGGUGACGGACGGAUCACGAAGAAGGAGCUGAAAGACUCGUUAGAGAACUUGGGCAUCCAAAAGUACGUAGAAAACAUGCUUAAUUGAGUGCUUGUGCUGAUUUUUCAAGUCAAUGGACAUCUUCUUCACGUAUGUCCAUAGCCUCCUUAAUUGAUCAGUGCGCGACAUUUAAACUUUAAUGACUUGACCAUCAACAUCAUGAUGUCUCUUUACUUUUCAUCCGUAGGAAAAAAAAAUUAUAUUUUUCUUUUAAACAAGAGCCAAAGCAUUCACAAUCCUCUUUUUCUAUGCAAUAUAUACACAAUAAUGCAGAAAUUUGAUUGAUGUAAUCGCAAAUGGUAGACAUAUUGUAGUAAUUCAAGUUAAUUGUAGAUAUUAUAGUAAUCGACCAUCCAUCA
Carya illinoinensis is the source of this 828-nucleotide long non-coding RNA. RefSeq lists it as uncharacterized. Lineage: Eukaryota; Viridiplantae; Streptophyta; Magnoliopsida; Fagales; Juglandaceae. The transcript is spliced from 3 exons. The record is from RefSeq and is a predicted model, not a curated record.